Molecule: non-coding RNA, 127 nt
Organism: Trichechus manatus latirostris (Florida manatee)
Lineage: Eukaryota; Metazoa; Chordata; Mammalia; Sirenia; Trichechidae
Product: small Cajal body-specific RNA 4
Exons: 1
Source: RefSeq, a predicted model, not a curated record
UCUGGAGGACCAAGAAGGUGGAAUCUGAUGCAGCAAGACUACUGAUACAAUCCUUCCAGAAAAAAGGAUUAGAGAGAGUAGCCAUUACUGGAGAAUAUCACAGGGUUGCCUGUACUAUACAACAUUG